AUUCCAGCUCCAAUAGCGUAUAUUUAAGUUGUUGCAGUUAAAAAGCCCGUAGUUGGAUUUUGGGUCGGGGAUACCGGUCCGUCGUUUCGAUGUGCACUGGUCUCCCCUUCCUUUCUGCCGGGGACGGCGUUUGCUCUUUACUGAGCGGCGUCGGAGUCGGCGUUGUUACUUUGAAAAAAUUAGAGUGUUCAAAGCAAGCCAUCGCUCUGAAUACAUUAGCAUGGAAUAACAUGAUAGGACUCUGGUCUUAUUUUGUUGGUUUCCGAGACUGGAGUAAUGAUUAAGAGGGACAGUCGGGGGCAUCCGUAUUUCAUUGUCAGAGGUGAAAUUCUUGGAUUUAUGAAAGACGAACUUCUGCGAAAGCAUUUGCCAAGGAUGUUUUCAUCG
RNAcentral lists this ribosomal RNA (387 nucleotides) under Prasinoderma sp. RNAcentral's name for it is "partial small subunit ribosomal RNA". It matches the Rfam family "Eukaryotic small subunit ribosomal RNA", at positions 582 to 975 of the family's 1831-position model. Lineage: Eukaryota; Viridiplantae; Prasinodermophyta; Prasinodermophyceae; Prasinodermales; Prasinodermaceae. The record is from RNAcentral.